GGUGGCAUAAUGGUUAAUGCACUUGGCUGCUAACCAAAAGAUCGGUGGUUCAAGCCCACCAGCCA
Loxodonta africana (African savanna elephant) is the source of this 65-nucleotide non-coding RNA. The record is from Rfam. Lineage: Eukaryota; Metazoa; Chordata; Mammalia; Proboscidea; Elephantidae.